GACGAACGCUGGCGGCGUGCUUAACACAUGCAAGUCGAACGGAAAGGCCCUGCUUGCAGGGUACUCGAGUGGCGAACGGGUGAGUAACACGUGGGUGAUCUGCCCUGCACUUCGGGAUAAGCCUGGGAAACUGGGUCUAAUACCGGAUAGGAGCCAUUUUUAGUGUGAUGGUUGGAAAGUUUUUUCGGUGUAGGAUGAGCUCGCGGCCUAUCAGCUUGUUGGUGGGGUAAUGGCCUACCAAGGCGGCGACGGGUAGCCGGCCUGAGAGGGUGGACGGCCACAUGGGGACUGGGAUACGGCCCAGACUCCUACGGGGGGCAGCAGUGGGGAAUUUUGCACAAGGGGCGCAAGCCUGAUGCAGCGACGCCGGGUGGGGGAUGACGGCCUUGGGGUUGUAAACCCCUUUCGCUAGGGACGAAGCUUUUGUGACGGUACCAAGAUAAGAAGCCCCGGCUAACUACGU
RNAcentral lists this ribosomal RNA (463 nucleotides) under uncultured bacterium. RNAcentral's name for it is "partial 16S ribosomal RNA". It matches the Rfam family "Bacterial small subunit ribosomal RNA", at positions 28 to 506 of the family's 1533-position model. The record is from RNAcentral.